GAUGAACGCUGGCGGCGUGCCUAAUACAUGCAAGUCGAGCGAACGGACGAGAAGCUUGCUUCUCUGAUGUUAGCGGCGGACGGGUGAGUCACACGUGGAUAACCUACCUAUAAGACUGGGAUAACUUCGGGAAACCGUAGCUAAUACCGGAUAAUAUUUUGAACCGCAUGGUUCAAAAGUGAAAGACGGUCUUGCUGUCACUUAUAGAUGGACCCGCGCUGCAUUAGCUAGUUGGUAAGGUAACGGCUUACCAAGGCAACGAUGCAUAGCCGACCUGAGAGGGGGAUCGGCCACACGGGAACUGGGACACGGUCCAGACUCCUACGGGAGGCGGCAGUAGGGAAUCUGCCGCAAUGGGCGAAAGCCUGACGGAGCAACGCCGCGUGAGUGAGGAAGGUCUUCGGAUCGUAAAACUCUGUUAUUAGGGAAGAACAUAUGUGUAAGUAACUGUGCACAUCUGGACGGUACCUAAGCAGAAAACCACGGCUAACUACGG
This 496-nucleotide ribosomal RNA is filed under the name uncultured bacterium. RNAcentral describes it as "partial 16S ribosomal RNA". It matches the Rfam family "Bacterial small subunit ribosomal RNA", at positions 28 to 506 of the family's 1533-position model. The record is from RNAcentral.